GGGCCAGUGGCGCAACGGAUAACGUGUCUGACUACGGAUCAGAAGAUUCUAGGUUCGACUCCUGGCUGGCUUG
This 73-nucleotide transfer RNA is filed under the name Oreochromis niloticus (Nile tilapia). Its description in RNAcentral is "tRNA-Arg (ACG) (tRNA-Arg-ACG-4-1)". It matches the Rfam family "tRNA". Rfam says of the family: Transfer RNA (tRNA) molecules are approximately 80 nucleotides in length. Their secondary structure includes four short double-helical elements and three loops (D, anti-codon, and T loops). Further hydrogen bonds mediate the characteristic L-shaped molecular structure. tRNAs have two regions of fundamental functional importance: the anti-codon, which is responsible for specific mRNA codon recognition, and the 3' end, to which the tRNAs corresponding amino acid is attached (by aminoacyl-tRNA synthetases). tRNAs cope with the degeneracy of the genetic code in two manners: having more than one tRNA (with a specific anti-codon) for a particular amino acid; and 'wobble' base-pairing, i.e. permitting non-standard base-pairing at the 3rd anti-codon position. Lineage: Eukaryota; Metazoa; Chordata; Actinopteri; Cichliformes; Cichlidae. The record is from Rfam by way of RNAcentral.